RNAcentral lists this ribosomal RNA (391 nucleotides) under uncultured bacterium. Its description in RNAcentral is "bacterial SSU rRNA". It matches the Rfam family "Bacterial small subunit ribosomal RNA", at positions 30 to 424 of the family's 1533-position model. The record is from RNAcentral.
AUUGAACGCUGGCGGCAUGCCUUACACAUGCAAGUCGAACGGCAGCACGGGGCAACCUGGUGGCGAGUGGCGAACGGGUGAGUAAUGCAUCGGAACGUGCCAUUGAGUGGGGGAUAACGUAGCGAAAGUUGCGCUAAUACCGCAUAUUCUGUGAGCAGGAAAGCAGGGGACCGCAAGGCCUUGCGCUCUUUGAGCGGCCGAUGUCAGAUUAGCUAGUUGGUGAGGUAACGGCUUACCAAGGCGACGAUCUGUAGCGGGUCUGAGAGGAUGAUCCGCCACACUGGAACUGAGACACGGUCCAGACUCCUACGGGAGGCAGCAGUGGGGAAUUUUGGACAAUGGGCGCAAGCCUGAUCCAGCCAUGCCGCGUGAGUGAAGAAGGCCUCGGGUU